GGAAUUACAUGUUUUAAUUGUGAUCAACCUUUUCUUUUAUUGUGUUAUAAAAACCUUCCAAAUAUAUUUUCAUAUAACUUUGAAUAACUAUAAAAAACGAAAAAAAAGUUGGGAGGAGCCCAUGAAAAAAAUAUGUUAAGCUAUUGGAGGAGAUUGAAGAGGUAUAUUAAUUCAAGCAUUAUUUUUAUUAAUCUACUAUUGUGGUUACGUUGUGUAAUUUUUAUUGUUUAAACACUAAUUUUUUUGGAUUUUAUAUUACAUUUUUUGUGAUAGUUGGAUUGUAUUUCUUUACGACUAAUCUAGUCAUAUUUUAAAUUUUUAUAUAUUUUUUUGUGCUAACACAUGUUUACGCACAAGGGAGAUAAAAAAAAAUAUACUCAUAUAACAGGCUUAAAUAGUUUACUAAUAGACAAUUUGAAAAACAUCUUUUUAAAUUUGAUUUUUGAGGUGUGUUGUUAUUUGGAAAUAAGUUUUGUAAAUACCAACAGACAAAAAUGAAUUUUAUAAAGUUCAAUUCUAAAUCUUGGAAAAGUUUAAAAAUCAAUCAUCUAUAAUUUAUUUCUAAAAAAUAUUAUUUUGAUUUUUUUAAAUUUUUCUUUUUAUUUUUUGCCUAUUCUUGAUCUCCAUAUAGCAGUCGAAAAUGGCAGAAAAAUAACUCGAAAUAUGAAAUUUUAAAGAAAUCGAUAAGAAAUCCCAAACCCAAUUUACAUAAUUUCAUAAUUUAAUUAUAUUGAGAAAAGACAUGAAGAGGGAAACGAAGAAAAAUCUCAUCAUAGUUGAAAAUGAGAGAAGGAAAGAGUUGUGAGACCUACUUGAGAGUGGGAGAGAGGCUCUUGUAAGUCCCACUAAGAGCGGGAAGGUUUGGGGAAAGGCACCAAGAGCGAAGACCAAAGAGAAAAAAAUUUGAGCGUUUUUUUGCUCACAUUUUUGGGCAAUUUUGGCUUAGCUUCAUAAUCUAUUUUGUUGGGGAAUAAAAUCUACUGAGGUUAUCCAAACGGUUCCGAGUUGCUAUCUCAAACUUUUUUGUCAUUAAAAAAUAUUGCAAUUUUGGGUACAUCCAAAUGGUUACCGGUUUGAUUUUUAUUGUUUUUUUGAGUUAUUCAUAGGGUAUUUUUUUUUUUGUUCGAAUUUCACAUCCCAAUAUUUUGUGUCCAAUGCUCGUGGAUUGGGUUGGGUCAUUAUGAUUGAAUGUUUUUGUGCUCCCGCAUGAGCACAUAAUCUUUCAUGUUCAUAUUUUUCUAAAAUUUUAAAAUCCCGUUUAAUGGGAUGGUGCACUAGAUGUAAAACUAUUAUUGAAAUGUCUAUUAUUUUUCUUGAACAUUAUUUUUAAUUUUUUUUUUUAUUUCAUCCUGACAAAAUUCCAUACACUCAAGCCCAUUAUAAACUGUAGCAUGUCAUUUGACCUAAAUUAUAAUUUUUCUAUGUCUCCAUCAAUUCCAUAUCAGUCCUAAUCCAAUCCUAAAAGUCUUUUUUUUUUUUAAUUCUCAAAAAGAGGUUAAUGGGUACAUUUAUUUACCAAAUAUAAAGGAAAAUCUUAUCUCAUUUAAUCUCCUUCAUUUCUUUAACUGUUUUAGUGUCGUAACCUAAUUUUAUGUAAAAAAUAAAGAUCGUGAAUAUUUGCUUUUUCAUCCUCUUAGUGAGUAUUUUUAAAUUUUUUGAAAUUUUUUAUGUCAUUCUUUGUGUUUAAUAUAUUGCUUUGGUGUUUUUUUUUUUGGUAAUUCAAGGAAAGACAUGUCCCUAUUCAUUUUUUCAAUAGAUUGGUUUAACUUUAUUAUUUGAUCAAUCUUGAGGUAGUAUAUGUGGUUUUUUCUUUUUUAACAUAUUUAAGAUCAUACGUUAUCUCUUGAUUAAAUAUUAUCUUUCGAUUUUUAAAUCCUUAAUCUUCAUAAUUAAAUAUUAUAUUUUGAUUUUUAAAUCUUUAAUUUUUAUGAUUAAAGAUUAUCUCUCGAUUAUCUCUUAAUUUUCUAAUGUAUUUUCUAUACCUUUAAAUUAAAAAACAGUAUAAGUACAAGUGAAUUUCUCUCACAAACGCUAUAUUUAAUGUUAUCUUAUCUACUCUUAAGAAUUUAAACCAAAGAAAGUACGGGAUGUUAUCUUAUCUUCUCUUACGAAUUUAAACCAAGGAAAGUAGGGGAUGUUAGAGACAGAGGAUUUUGGUGGUUAUGAUAAUAAUUUGUAAGGUGAAGGUAUGCGGUUUUUAUAAGGUUGCCUUAUAUUUUUGUAGGAUUAUUUAUUUUCUCUUUUUCUUUAUUUAAUAAUUUUCUUAAUUAUCUUUCCUUUUUUUUUUAUCUCGCAGUGAGAGAAGUAAGAGGCAAGUAUUGCUCACUCCACCUUCCAAUAUUGAUAUGAAAUAAUUUGACUCUGCGGUCGUGAAAGAGUUUCUAAUCACUAUAAAGUCCUUUGCUGUUAUCUAUAUUGGCCAAGAAGAUGUGAACUAUAUAAGCAGAAGACCGUAAAUCGUAAAUGACAACAUAUGAUUUAGAAUUGAUUACACAUAAUUUAGAAUGACUUGCUACUUGCGUCUCAAAUCCAAAUGAACUCACAAGAGAAGUGGAGGAGUUGCAUACAAGCGUAGAAAGCCUCUAUGAGUAGAUUACUCCUAUUGGUUGAAAUCAUUCCCCUAUGAAGAACUCUCUAUCCUUAGUCAGUAGAGCACUUUGCCCAAUUCUCUAGAUGGAUAUUGCCUCUCUCCUUCAUCCACAAUCUCAAUCUCUAUGUGGAUGAUUGUUCUCUAAAUGGAUAUUACCUCUCUCCGUCACCCAUAAUCUCAAUCUCUAUGUGGAUGAUUGACUGAACCAAUUUCUAGUGAGGAUAUUUGUGAUCCCAUCAACGAAAUUCUGCUACGUAUAUAUUAUGUUGCCGGAUAAUCUUGAUCUUCACCGGCAUCUAUUUUGCUAAUAGACGAUGUCGAUCUUGACCUCGAUUAUUUUCUGGACUUUUGUACUUAACCUUUGCUUUUGCUUUAAAUUUAUUGUAUCAAAC
Molecule: long non-coding RNA, 2982 nt
Filed under: Amborella trichopoda
Lineage: Eukaryota; Viridiplantae; Streptophyta; Magnoliopsida; Amborellales; Amborellaceae
Description: long non-coding RNA (ATRI_LNC002665)
Source: RNAcentral